UACGGGGGGAGCAAGCGUUGUUCGGAUUUACUGGGCGUAAAGGGCGCGUAGGCGGCCAGCGCAAGUCAGUUGUGAAAUCUCCGGGCUUAACUCGGAGCGGUCAACUGAUACUGCGCGGCUAGAGUGCAGAAGGGGCAACUGGAAUUCUCGGUGUAGCGGUGAAAUGCGUAGAUAUCGAGAGGAACACCUGCGGCGAAGGCGGGUUGCUGGGCUGACACUGACGCUGAUGCGCGAAAGCCAGGGGAGCGAACGGG
RNAcentral lists this ribosomal RNA (254 nucleotides) under uncultured bacterium. Its description in RNAcentral is "partial 16S ribosomal RNA". It matches the Rfam family "Bacterial small subunit ribosomal RNA", at positions 524 to 776 of the family's 1533-position model. The record is from RNAcentral.